AGCCUUCUUACUCCAUGUCGAGAUUUUGUCAGACACCAGACCAUCAGUACUCAUGAAACUCCCAAGAUAAGUGAAGCG
Molecule: non-coding RNA, 78 nt
Organism: Schistosoma haematobium
Lineage: Eukaryota; Metazoa; Platyhelminthes; Trematoda; Strigeidida; Schistosomatidae
Source: Rfam